Molecule: ribosomal RNA, 533 nt
Filed under: uncultured bacterium
Lineage: Bacteria
Description: partial 16S ribosomal RNA
Rfam family: Bacterial small subunit ribosomal RNA
Source: RNAcentral
UGGGGAAUAUUGCACAAUGGGCGCAAGCCUGAUGCAGCCAUGCCGCGUGUGUGAAGAAGGCCUCGGUUGUAAAGCACUUUCAGCGAGGAGGAAGGUGGUGAGCUUAAUACGCUCAUCAAUUGACGUUACUCGCAGAAGAAGCACCGGCUAACUCCGUGCCAGCAGCCGCGGUAAUACGGAGGGUGCAAGCGUUAAUCGGAAUUACUGGGCGUAAAGCGUACGCAGGCGGUUUGUUAAGUCAGAUGUGAAAUCCCCGGGCUCAACCUGGGAACUGCAUUUGAAACUGGCAAGCUAGAGUCUCGUAGAGGGGGGUAGAAUUCCAGGUGUAGCGGUGAAAUGCGUAGAGAUCUGGAGGAAUACCGGUGGCGAAGGCGGCCCCCCUGGACGAAGACUGACGCUCAGGUGCGAAAAGGCGUGGGGGAGCAAAACAGGAUUAGAUACCCUGGUAGUCCACGCUGUAAAACGAUGUCGAUUUUGGAGGUUGUGCCCCUUGAGGCGUGGCUUCCGGAGCUAACGCGUUAAAUCGACCGCCU